GAAGGCCUGUGCAGCAGAAAGGCGCUUUACUGUUUCUUUCUAUUGCAGUGGAAGAACUUUGCUCAUCUGUGGCUGUUUGGCUUUAACAACUCCAAAGACAUGUUGCUUUACCUCUUUUUACUUUUCUCUCACUUUAUAGCCCUGGGCUCCAUGGACAGCAUAAAGCCAGAGAGUAGUGUAGAACAUGUUGCAGAGGGCAGAAACAUCAACCUGACCUGUAGAUAUGAUGGUACUAUCUACAGUAUCCAGUGGUACCGACAAUACCAGAGAUCCAGACCAGAGUUCCUGCUCUACAUCACAGAGGGAGGAUUGAUUCAUUCAACUGUUUCUGAUUUCUCAGCUCACAUUGACAAGACACAGAAACGUGUUGAUCUGGAGAUCAUCUCAGCUAAAGACUCUGAUGUGUACUACUGUGCUCUGCAGCCCACAGUGACAGGAAACACCAGAACUCUGUACAAAACCUUUGGAGCAAAGACAACACAACACAACAUGGCAGAUCUGAACUUCUUCCCUCCACUAGAGGGCCACCUUAUCAAAGUGUAAAGGAGAAGACAAAGUGAACCAGCCAACAGGAGAUGUCAUCGCUACUGAAGGACACACAGUUACACUUGGCUGCACAUUUGAGACCAGUGACACAUAUCCCUAUCUGUUCUGGUACAAGCAAGAAGUAA
This is a non-coding RNA of Cottoperca gobio, 671 nucleotides long. NCBI's taxonomy places the organism in Eukaryota, Metazoa, Chordata, Actinopteri, Perciformes, Bovichtidae. The record is from the annotation of a RefSeq genome assembly.